This is a non-coding RNA of Clostridium cadaveris, 372 nucleotides long. It matches the Rfam family "Bacterial RNase P class A". Rfam says of the family: Ribonuclease P (RNase P) is a ubiquitous endoribonuclease, found in archaea, bacteria and eukarya as well as chloroplasts and mitochondria. Its best characterised activity is the generation of mature 5'-ends of tRNAs by cleaving the 5'-leader elements of precursor-tRNAs. Cellular RNase Ps are ribonucleoproteins. The record is from Rfam. NCBI's taxonomy places the organism in Bacteria, Bacillati, Bacillota, Clostridia, Eubacteriales, Clostridiaceae.
CGAGUAAGUCAGAUAAUCGCUGCUAAGUUUACUUAGGAGAGGAAAGUCCGAGCUCCGUAGGGCAGGGUGCUGGGUAACUCCCAGUCAAGGUGACUUGAAGGAAAGUGCAACAGAGAUAUACCGCCAGAUUUUUAAUUUAUUAAAAUGAGAGCAGUUACGGCUGACUGGUAAGGAUGGAAAGGCGAGGUAAGAGCUCACCAGCGCAUUGGCGACUUUGCGGCUAUGUAAACCCCACUUGGAGCAAGACCGAAUAGGAUGGCAUAUGGGGCUGCCCGUCCCGCCAUCGGGUGUGUCGCUUGAGCUUAUUGGUAACAAUAGGCCUAGAUAGAUGAUUGUCAAAUACAGAACUCGGCUUAUAGAUUUAGUCGCGCA